GUUUACCUACAGAAGAAGCACCGGCUAACUCCGUGCCAGCAGCCGCGGUAAUACGGAGGGGUGCGAGCGUUAAUCGGAAUUACUGGGCGUAAAGCGCAUGCAGGCGGCCUGUUAAGUCAGAUGUGAAAGCCCGGGGCGUUAACCUCGGAAUUGCAUUUGAAACUGGCAGGCUUAGAGUCUUGUAGAGGGGGGUAGGAAUUUCAGGUGUAGCGGUGAAAUAGCGUAGAGAUCUGAAGGAAUACCAGUGGCGAAGGCGGCCCCCUCGGACAAAGACUGACGCUCAGAUCGCGAAAGCGUGGGGAGCAAACAGGAUUAGAUACCCCUGGUAG
RNAcentral lists this ribosomal RNA (329 nucleotides) under uncultured bacterium. RNAcentral's name for it is "bacterial SSU rRNA". It matches the Rfam family "Bacterial small subunit ribosomal RNA", at positions 473 to 793 of the family's 1533-position model. The record is from RNAcentral.